UGCAAUUGGAAUGGUCCUCUACAAGAGC
This 28-nucleotide non-coding RNA is filed under the name Mus musculus (house mouse). Lineage: Eukaryota; Metazoa; Chordata; Mammalia; Rodentia; Muridae. The record is from RNAcentral.